GACGAACGCUGGCGGCAUGCCUAACACAUGCAAGUCGAGCGAGUUGAUUCUUUCGGGAUGAAGCUAGCGGCGGACGGGUGAGUAACACGUGGGCAACCUGCCUCAUAGAGGGGAAUAGCCUUCCGGAAGGAAGAUUAAUACCGCAUAAGAUUGCAUCUUCGCAUGAAGAAGCAAUUAAAGGAGCAAUCCGCUAUGAGAUGGGCCCGCGGCGCAUUAGCUAGUUGGUGAGGUAACGGCUCACCAAGGCGACGAUGCGUAGCCGACCUGAGAGGGUGAUCGGCCACAUUGGGACUGAGACACGGCCCAGACUCCUACGGGAGGCAGCAGUGGGGAAUAUUGCACAAUGGGGGAAACCCUGAUGCAGCAAUGCCGCGUGAGUGAUGACGGCCUUCGGGUUGUAAAGCUCUGUCUUCGGGGACGAUAAUGACGGUACCCGAGGAGGAAGCCACGGCUAACUACGUGCCAGCAGCCGCCGUAA
RNAcentral lists this ribosomal RNA (478 nucleotides) under uncultured bacterium. Its description in RNAcentral is "partial 16S ribosomal RNA". It matches the Rfam family "Bacterial small subunit ribosomal RNA", at positions 28 to 523 of the family's 1533-position model. The record is from RNAcentral.